AACUCUACCGAUCUACUCUCUGAUCUACCAGGUUCAAUUGACAGACAUGAAAGUGCGAGAGGGGUACUUUAAAUAAAGGCAUGAUUACUAGUGCUAGUACUUAAGAGGGAUUAGGAGCUACUAAUGACAUCCAAAAUGAUGUCUAAGCACAUUAAGCCAUCGCCCACAUCAACCUUGGCAAAGCUCAGAACAUCUACAUAUUACAUAACACACAAUGGAAGAAUGGAGGGGAGAAAGGAAAAUAAAAAGUUUCAUUUGAACCUGGCAAGUAUCUCAUCAUCUCUUCAAAGGUCUGUUUGGCUCUCCUCUGCUUGUCUUCUGUGUAGCGUUCCUCACUGUUCUCACAGAACACAGCAUCUGAGACAAAACCUCAGCAUUAGUCUGAGGCACCUGAGGGUCUGACAGAGGAGGCCACUACAAGGAUUCAUUAGGACCACACAGAGUGAGGAGUCACAGUAAAACAGUUCUAUUGUCUGGGCCUCGGGCUAGAUGGAAGGGAACAAGAAUAAUAUUAACACUGACACUCUGAAGUGCUCGAGUGGGCGAUUAUUGAAUGCCCCCGUUCCAACACACACAUUAACCUUCGCUCUUUCAUGGGAUAAUAUUCAAACCGCUUUACUAGAGUUCACCACACACCUCUGACGUCCCUGGUGUUUGAGGGACACACAGACCACACACCUCUGAGGUCCCUGGUGUUUGAGGGACACACAGACCACACACCUCUGACGUCCCUGGUGUUUGAGGGACACACAGACCACACACUUCUGACGUCCCUGGUGUUUGAGGGACACACAGACCACACACUUCUGAGGUCCCUGGUGUUUGAGGGACACACAGACCACACACCUCUGACGUCCCUGGUGUUUGAGAGGGAUGCACAUGUAACAGACGUGGUCUUGCAAGCUCCGUCGAGGCAUACGGGCCGAUGUUCCCUCCCAACGGGAGUCGAACCUGCCACCUCUGACUUCCCAAGCGCCACCACUACCAACUACGCCAACGAAAAGCUAGAAAUUCUUGACGCGGGUGGCCUGUUACAUACUUGAAGAGUGAGCUUCAGCACACACCGGCUACACACAGACCACACACCUCUGAGCUGGGUGAUGAGAGACACCAAACGGUGCUCCUGGAGAACCCUCUCCAGCUUCUUCUGCAUGUACUGGUCCAUGUACGCCUCGAAUGUGUUCUUGAACAGGAUCCGCGCUCCUGAGAGGAUGUGAUGCAACCAUUCGGGCAUGUGGAACACUAUGCGACCUGCCAGGCAACACAACUGUAGUGAGAAGCAGCUUCACCAACUUAACUCCCCACAUUGACUACGUGAUUAAAGUUGUGAUCCGCUCCUGUGGAGAUUAACGAUUUUGACCCUUUAUGACUUGGAUCUUAUUAAAGUUCACGCUAAUGGUCAAAUCCAACCACAAAACAAAGUGUUUGGAUCACUUACCCACAUACAUCAUGUAAUCAUACAUUCCCUCAACUAUGGUCACUUCCAUGAAGUAGUUCUGGUUCUGCUUCCUCUCCACAGUCUCAGACAGAUUUGCAUUGUUCCUGAACAGGUUGUUGACGAGCUAUAAACGAGGAUAGGAGUAUCAGUCAUACAAACUCCUUCUCAAUCAUCUACUGUACUUUCUGAAUGCGCUAUUUGUACGUCACUUUGGGUCAAAGCGUUUGCCGAAAGAACAAAAUGUAAAUGUUGAGCCAGAUUUCGAGUCACGACAGAUGAUCAGUUUGUGAACCGGGAGUUGGAUAAGCUGGUGGUUGAUGACUCGCCUUCUUAUCAUACUCGGCUGUGGGGCUGAGUAUGGUCAGUUCUGGUCUGCUGGGUUUGGGCUUGGGUGACUCGCAAGAGUUGAAAAAAGACUGGAUGAAUGGUUCCAAAUUCUGCCCUUUCUGGAACGAAGCAUAGAGAAAACAGACCAUGUGGAAUAUAGUUGUGUUUCAAAUCAAGACUCAAAUUCAUGUUUUUCAUGCCAAACAGAGGUACUGUUUUCCUACCUCUUUCAUAAGCUUUCCAGGAACAGAUUUGAAAAUUUUACCUGCGGUUUAACAAUCAGAGAUAAAAGAAACGUAAAAAAGAAGAAAAUACACAAAUCAAUAGUUCUCAAAUGAAUUGUCUUGGUGUUGUGCUGAACUGUACAGAGACGUCUUACCCAGAUUAACAUCAGGCAGCAUCUUGUCCAGGAACUGAGAUUCCAUACUGUGUGGGGACAGGAAGUCCGCAAGCAGCUGGCUGUUACUCAGCUCUGGGUGCUGCAG
Long non-coding RNA from Osmerus eperlanus (European smelt), 2250 nucleotides. RefSeq lists it as uncharacterized. Lineage: Eukaryota; Metazoa; Chordata; Actinopteri; Osmeriformes; Osmeridae. The transcript is spliced from 2 exons. The record is from RefSeq and is a predicted model, not a curated record.